UAAGAGAAAAACCCAAGCUGAGGAGGGACAGGGAGGAGAGGGGGGCGCAAUUACUUUAGCGGUGCAGUGAAAAUGAUGAGCAGCAAAUGUUGCCUUUUUUCCCUCCUCCUUCUCGUCCCUCCACCCCCCACCCUCCACCCAAAAAGCAAGUCUUAGAGGAUUUCUCUGUCUCAAUGAAGUAAUAAUAAAGGCGGCUGACCACAGUCUGGGCUAGCGCCAACCGUGCGGGGGGGGAGGGGGAGGAAUAUCCCUGCUCCCAGAGUCCUGAGGAGAAGAGGAAGAGUGGAGGAUUGUUGCAGCACAAGUUCUUGCUCUUGGUGAAAAAAUAUCUCUUCUCUGGAAAUUCAUUUCCAUUUACUUAAAGUUAAAUGGUUUGACUUUGAAUUUUCAUUAUCUGCUGUUGGAAGGAGCCUGUGACAGAUAGGGUAGCCCGCAGACUGGCCAUAAAUUGCACCAAAUUGGGAACGUGCUGAACUCUAAGAGUGAGUUUCUUUUUUGUUCUAUGGUUGUAAGUCUUAGCAUUUCAAAGUGUAUUUUCAUUAUCAAAAAGUGGUCUGGACUGUAGCUGCCAUCUAAAUAAAGUUGAAUACACUACUUCAUUCACUGGAAGUUACUAAAAAAGGCUACCUAAUAUUCUUCUCUUUUCACUGCUGAUGGAUCACAUUAUCUCAUUUUUAUACACGACUGGACAACAUAGAAAAUGUCUUUGUGACUUCUGAGACUCACUCUAGCAGGUAUUGGCAACAUACUGGAUGGAGAACUUCUGGGCUCUUGAAAGAAACACAUAAUGCAAUUGCCUGGUCAUCAAUAUACUAGUUUUAAAUAUUGUGGAAUUUAGCCAUUAUUCUUUUGAUUACAUAUUUGAGGCAACAUAUAUUUGGCCAUAGAGGAUGUAUAGUUUGAGUAGAUACAGAUGUCUAUAGGAAGAAAUUGUAAUUUCUCUUAGUUCAAAAUUCAUUAAAUAGGCUUUAUCGUACCUUUCUUAUUUUUGUCCCAAGAUGGAUACUUGUUUAUCUUUAAUAACUUGACAACCAGUAACAACUGCAUUUGCUUUAUUUGUAGACACUUUAAGAAAAAAAAAAAAAGUUGUUGAUUCUUUUACUCAUCCCUUGAUAGGACUGGUUGGUGAAUGUUACUACUUGCUAAGGGUGUCACCUUUUUCUUGUCCAUACUUAAUACAGAAGAAAAAGCAAGGGAACUCCUCCAGCCAAACUAUCAUUUCUUUUGAUAUGGGUCCUUUUUUAUUCUGGAGAAAACCUCCUACAGAUUUUCAAGCAUAUUUCAUUUAAUAUAGAUUUGGCCUUUUCAGUCUGGAACAAGAAAUAUCAGAGAGUUCAUACAAGUAGAUGUUAUAACAACACCAGCAACAUCUGCAGAAUGACAGAGUUUAUUUUUAGUUGCAACGUGUAAUAAUCACUAUUGGCCUCCUCAGCUUCUCAAUUUCUGCAACAAUUUUCUGGAAAAAUGUUUUUGUUUCAGGCUUUGUUUUGUAGCAUCAUGGGAAGUUUCAUCAUUAAAAAAAUAAGAAGAAAAAUUACUUCCUUUAACUGGACUAAAUCAAUAUUUCUUCCUAAAAUAAUGAAACCAUAUGUAGUUAAAAACUAUCAUACAGGUGAAGAAGAGUCCAUGAGUAGGAAUAAUGCAAAAUAAUUUGACUUUUGAGAGACUGUAAGCUCUUCAAACCUAUUGUUAAAACAGAUGAUGCUUGACAUCAUUGCAAAUCAUUCUGUCUUCCUUUUACUUAUAAGACCUGGUAUCUGUAAUAGACAGUGUACAUACAUUCAUAUGGUGAUGUUUGGUUAGUAGAACACACACGGCUGGAGUUAAAUUAUUUAAUUUAUAGAGUUUCAAAUAUCUGCUAUCUUCACUAGAUAGAUCUUUAAAAACUGAAAGAAUAUCCCUUAAUAUGGUUUUCAUUGAAAACAAGCAUUUAGGGAAAAAAAAAAUAAAAAGGAAACAAAUGUGCCAUAUACAUGCAAAACAUGCUAGCUUGAAUGUACCUUUAUAAUUACCAAACAGUAUUUCUUCAGGUAUAGAGUGCAUUUUGAUGUUGUUCAUUUUAUCAUACACACAUUAUUCCAUAAUCUAAAAAAUAACAUAGCUUUGCAAGAAGAUGCCUAGUGAUUUAUUAUUAGGUUCAGUUAUCCUCUGCAGGAAGAUAAAAUUACUACUACUUACUUUCAAAAGAGGUCCAGGGUUGAAUCCUCACUAUCAUAUAGAGAAACUAGAAUUUGACUCUCCCAUUAACUUUGCUUAGGUUGGGGGGGGAACAGUAUCUUUGAAUGUUAAGCCACUGGUUUUCAUACAUGAAUAUUCAGAAAUCUAGUCAACCCAAAAUGGAGACCACUGUGUGAGACACAGCCCUUGUUUGGAAAGCAAAACUGAGGAUUUCCUGAGGCUUCAUGCUGUGAGAAAAGGAGCUGUGGACCAGUCAGUGCCUUUUUCCACCACUAAGUACUGAAGUUAAUGUGAGUGUGAAUCUAUAUUUCUUUGUUCAGAGUUACUGUAAAUGUUCUCUCAUGGAGAAAUUGCUCAGUCUAAAGAUAAUUAUAGUUACGCAGUCAUUCAGGUGAAUUAGUGCAGGCAAACGAAGAAGGCUCACCUCAUCACUAAUGGACACAAGCAGUAUGCAGUGACUGACUCUAAACACUGGCUGUUCUGAAGUGUCCUAGCCUGGAUACCAGCAAUAGUAUCUGCUUGGAUAGCAGAUGUGUAUGCCCUGCUCACAGCUAAUUAUUUCUGCAGAGUGACAGUAUGAUGGUGAUUAAAAAUAUAUAUUAAUAUAUAUGGUGUGUUAGACCUAUAAAUAUAUCUUGCCUGA
Molecule: long non-coding RNA, 2821 nt
Organism: Harpia harpyja (harpy eagle)
Lineage: Eukaryota; Metazoa; Chordata; Aves; Accipitriformes; Accipitridae
Exons: 4
Source: RefSeq, a predicted model, not a curated record